AUUGAACGCUGGCGGCAUGCCUUACACAUGCAAGUCGAACGGCAGCACGGGUGCUUGCACCUGGUGGCGAGUGGCGAACGGGUGAGUAAUACAUCGGAACAUGUCCUGUAGUGGGGGUUAGCCCGGCGAAAGCCGGAUUAAUACCGCAUACGAUCUACGGAUGAAAGCGGGGGACCUUCGGGCCUCGCGCUAUGGGGUUGGCCGAUGGCUGAUUAGCUAGUUGGUGGGGUAAAGGCCUACCAAGGCGACGAGCAGUAGCUGGUCUGAGAGGAGGAGCAGCCACGAUAGGACGGAGACACAGCCCAGACUCCUAAGGCAGGCAGCAGUGGGGAAUUUUGGAGAAGGGGCGAAAGCCUGAUCCAGCAAUGCCGCGUGUGUGAAGAAGGCCUUCGGGUUGUAGAGCACUUUUGUCCGGAAAGAAAUCCUUGGCACUAAUACGGUCGGGGGAUGACGGUACCGGAAGAAUAAGCACCGGCUAACUACGUG
Molecule: ribosomal RNA, 486 nt
Filed under: uncultured bacterium
Lineage: Bacteria
Description: partial 16S ribosomal RNA
Rfam family: Bacterial small subunit ribosomal RNA
Source: RNAcentral